GGUGUAGGCGGUUUGAAAAGUCGGGUGUGAAAGCCCAGGGCCCAACCCUGGAACUGCACCCGAUACUAUCAGGCUAGAGUCCCGGAGAGGGUGGCGGAAUUCCCGGUGUAGGGGUGAAAUCCGUAGAUAUCGGGAGGAACACCAGUGGCGAAGGCGGCCACCUGGACGGUGACUGACGCUGAGACUCGAAAGUGUGGGUAGCAAACAGGAUUAGAUACCCUGGUAGUCC
RNAcentral lists this ribosomal RNA (229 nucleotides) under uncultured bacterium. RNAcentral describes it as "partial 16S ribosomal RNA". It matches the Rfam family "Bacterial small subunit ribosomal RNA", at positions 568 to 796 of the family's 1533-position model. The record is from RNAcentral.